Peromyscus maniculatus bairdii (prairie deer mouse) is the source of this 322-nucleotide non-coding RNA. The record is from RefSeq and is a predicted model, not a curated record. Lineage: Eukaryota; Metazoa; Chordata; Mammalia; Rodentia; Cricetidae.
UUUAAAAGGGAGAAAAACCACAACAGAAGACCAGAGCUCAGUGUGUGGAAGAAACAAUAGGAAAAGAGCAGCUGUGCGGGCUUUUGGUCUCACCAAAACUUGGCUAAUUUAAAUUUAAAUUGGGAAUCUAUCCAUACAAACACAGGGAGGAUACUGAUGGAAACAAGUUGCGAAGAGUCUUGUGAGCAUAGGAAGACUUUGGUUGUCAUUUUUAGCAAGCAGAAAUAUAUCAAAGGGCCACGAGCUGCUGUACCACCGGAGCUGAUGUCACUCUCCAGCCUCUACAUCUGUAAACCACUACAGCCCUCCCUCAUUUGCUUUG